AGAAUGCCGGUAUGAGUAGCGAAAGACAGGUGAGAAUCCUGUCCACCGAAUGACUAAGGUUUCCUGGGGAAGGCUCGUCCUCCCAGGGUUAGUCGGGACCUAAGCUGAGGCCGAGAGGCGUAGGCGAUGGACAACGGGUUGAUAUUCCCGUACCGGUCUGAUUUGUUUGAGCAAUGGAGGGACGCAGGAGGCUAACGAUGCGCACUAUCGGAUGUGCGUCCAAGCAGCAAGUCUGUCGGCGAGUCAAAUGCUUGCCGGCUCAAGGACAAGCUGUGACGGGUAUGAACGAUUUAUCGUUCUAAGUGAGUGACGUCACACUGCCAAGAAAAGCUUCUAGUUAGAAUCAGACCGCCCGCACCGCAAACCGACACAGGUAGUCGGGUCGAGAAGACCAAGGUGAGCGAGAGAACUCUCGUUAAGGAACUCGGCAAAAUGACCCCGUAACUUCGGGAGAAGGGGUGCUGAUCGCAAGAUCAGCCGCAGUGAAUAGGCCCAGGCGACUGUUUAUCAAAAACACAGGUUUCUGCAAAAUCGUAAGAUGAAGUAUAGGGGCUGACGCCUGCCCGGUGCUGGAAGGUUAAGAGGAUGGGUUAGCGCAAGCGAAGCUCAGAAUUGAAGCCCCAGUAAACGGCGGCCGUAACAAUAACGGUCCUAAGGUAGCGAAAUUCCUUGUCGGGUAAGUUCCGACCCGCACGAAAGGCGUAACGAUCUGGGCACUGUCUCAACGAGAGACUCGGUGAAAUUAUAAUACCCGUGAAGAUGCGGGUUACCCGCGACAGGACGGAAAGACCCCAUGGAGCUUUACUGUAGCUUGAUAUUGGGUGUUUGUACAACUUGUACAGGAUAGGUAGGAGCCGUAGAAGUCGGGACGCUAGUUUCGACGGAGGCAUCGGUGGGAUACUACCCUCGUUGUAUGAACACUCUAACCCACGCCGGCAAUCACGGCGGGAGACAGUGUCAGGUGGGCAGUUUGACUGGGGCGGUCGCCUCCUAAAAGGUAACGGAGGCGCCCAAAGGUUCCCUCAGAAUGGUUGGAAAUCAUUCGCAGAGUGUAAAGGCAUAAGGGAGCUUGACUGCGAGACCUACAAGUCGAGCAGGGACGAAAGUCGGGCUUAGUGAUCCGGUGGUUCCGCAUGGAAGGGCCAUCGCUCAACGGAUAAAAGCUACCCUGGGGAUAACAGGCUUAUCUCCCCCAAGAGUCCACAUCGACGGGGAGGUUUGGCACCUCGAUGUCGGCUCAUCGCAUCCUGGGGCUGUAGUCGGUCCCAAGGGUUGGGCUGUUCGCCCAUUAAAGCGGUACGCGAGCUGGGUUCAGAACGUCGUGAGACAGUUCGGUCCCUAUCCGUCGCGGGCGCAGGAAAUUUGAGAGGAUCUGUCCUUAGUACGAGAGGACCGGGAUGGACAUACCGCUGGUGUACCAGUUGUUCUGCCAAGGGCAUCGCUGGGUAGCUAUGUAUGGAUGAGAUAAACGCUGAAAGCAUCUAAGUGCGAAACUCACCUCGAGAUAAGAUUUCCCACUCCUUUAUGGAGUUAAGACCCCUGAGAGAUGAUCAGGUAGAUAGGAUGGAAGUGGAAGUGCGGCGACGCAUGGAGCGGACCAUUACUAAUCGGUCGAGGACUUAACCU
Molecule: ribosomal RNA, 1626 nt
Filed under: metagenome
Description: bacterial LSU rRNA
Rfam family: Bacterial large subunit ribosomal RNA
Source: RNAcentral